This 215-nucleotide long non-coding RNA is filed under the name Hordeum vulgare. Its description in RNAcentral is "long non-coding RNA (HVUL_LNC010717)". The record is from RNAcentral. Lineage: Eukaryota; Viridiplantae; Streptophyta; Magnoliopsida; Poales; Poaceae.
UUCCUGAAGGGCCACGAUCGUCUCCAGUGCCUUGGCCAACUGCGCCUGUUUCUCGAUCAGGGCCUCCUCCUUCUCCUUUAGGGCGCCGUCCUUAAGCAUCAUCUCCUUGAGAUGGGCUGCCUUAAGACGCUCCUUGUCGGCACCGUUGGAGGAGUCCUUCUCCUCAAGUGUGGCGCGCAGCUGGUCCAGCUCGGCCUGAAGGGCCGCCUCGCGAU